This 948-nucleotide long non-coding RNA is filed under the name Homo sapiens (human). RNAcentral's name for it is "HSALNT0294823". The record is from RNAcentral. Lineage: Eukaryota; Metazoa; Chordata; Mammalia; Primates; Hominidae.
CAAUAGCACUGACACUUAAAGUUAAGUGUUUUCUUGCUUGGUCUUAGCACUCUAGCCAAAUGGAUUUUGAGGGCCUCCUAUUCAUGGGUCACAGCUGCUUGACUCAAGGAUUUUUGCCUAUGCAUGCCCUGACAGUCAGAUACUAACUCACUUGGAUGCCUGCCUCUCACACUGCUCUACUUUAUGAAGUCAAGACCAUUAAUAAAAUCCAGUUUACAGAAAGGCCUAGAGAAGGUUAUUUCUCUGAACACUUCGCUGUACCUACUUCCAUAACAGAUGAACUUACCAGAUGUAACAGAAGCGGUUCUUCUGUUCUCGUGGAAGAUGAAGUUGUCCUUUGUUUUGAUGAGUCCUGAAGGACUUAAAGGCUCCACUGGCAGACAGCAGAGAAGGGGAGAAGAGGAGAAGCAGCUGGACAUUGAAGACUCUGGUUUGACAUAAGAGAGAAGCAGCUUCACUUCAGAGGGACAACUUGACAUUGGGACAUCAGGGGAAGAAUGCCUUCUUCCUACUCCAUCCCCUUUCCAGCUCCCCCUCUCACUGAGAGCCACUUCCAUCAGCAAUAAAAUCCCCCACAUUUACUAUCCUUGAAUUUGUGCAACCUGGUUUUUCCUGGACACCAGACAAGAGCUUGGGAUACAGAAAACUGUCACACUAACCAUCUGCCCUCAUGAAAAGGCAGAGGGUCCACUGAGCUAUUAAACACUGAAGCUGUCUGCAGACAGCAAAGCUAAAAGAGCACUGUAACACACUCCCUCUGGUGCUUCAGGGGUAACAGGUAGUCCCGUAGACACCGCCAUCAGGCUACACGGAGUUUUGCUCCUUCCAGUACCCAAAAGCACUCACUCCAGCUUCUGCACCUGCUCACCUGCAUGCUCCCCCUCCCACGAGGGGUUGAAAGCUGCGGGCUGAGUAAGUGAGGCACCCCUGUCACAAGGCUUGAGAAGG